Molecule: long non-coding RNA, 1266 nt
Organism: Pyrus x bretschneideri (Chinese white pear)
Lineage: Eukaryota; Viridiplantae; Streptophyta; Magnoliopsida; Rosales; Rosaceae
Exons: 3
Source: RefSeq, a predicted model, not a curated record
UAAAAAGAAAGCAAAAACCACAUAUUAUACUAUGCUAAAACUCAACACAAAAAAAACACUGUUUAUUAACAGUGUUCUUCCUUUUGUGCACUUGCUUGGUUCUUUUAUUUCAUUUCUACCCGAUUUGCACGUUCAUCGCUUUUAGGAAGGAGACUCAAAAAGUCGGGUCUUUCCAUUGCUUCCCGUACGUUCCAUUUGCUUCCGUUACGUUCUUCUUCCUCCUCUCUUCACUUUUGUUCUUUGCUUUCUCUCUGCAACCUUAAAACUCUCAAGCCACAAGCCAACCAUAACCAAUCCGUCCUCAACUCUUCUUUCCUCUCACUUUUAUCUCCGUGACUCACUUAAUAGAAAGUGUCGUACGGCGACGAUUUUGACGAUUCCGGCAAUGGCCGACCUCGAGGUUGGUCUCAAACAGUUGCUCUUCACAUCAGGUAGCUUCUAGACCUAUUGCAGGUUUACGGAAGUGAAUCCAGAGGGGAAGGUGCCUGUGGUGAAGUUUGAUGACAAAUGGGUGGCAGAUUCUGAUGUCAUUGUUGGGAUCAUUGAGGAAAAGUACCCUGAGCCUUCUCUCAAAACUCCUCCUGAAUUUGCUUCUGUGUCAUGCUAUUCAGAAAGUGGUUUGAAGGGUUCCAAGAGCUUGAUUCACCUAAUUUCUCCUCUUUAUGUAAAAAUUCUUUCAAAAGGCUUAAACAUCUUCCGAUUCAAAUAACAUUAACUUUCUGCAACAAUCCUUUAUCCCUUUGAAUCAUAAUUUUUCAUACAGUUUCUAAUUCCGUAAAAACGUGCAAUGUGCGGGUACAGUUUCUAGUAUUUAACUAAAAUCUAUUGAAGAAAUAGUUGAUCAAUUGAUGUGGAUCCAAAUGGUCAGUUAAAGUAUUACUUACCCAAAUCCCCAAAACUCCCCAUUCCAAAAAAAUAUCCAAUUUGCCUACGAUUUUCUCAUCGCAAGCAGCCGUCCUAACCAUCAUAGCUUAGUUGUCGUCAACGGAAUAUGAGCUAUCAUGCUAUAGGAUUGCAGUUCUGCUAUUGGAAGGGUAGUUUGAAGGAUGUAUUAAAAAAGAGAAAAGGAUGGAUGUGAAAGAUAUAGAGACCUCACUUUUAUAGUGAAAAUAUAAAAAAUAAAAAAUAAAAAAAAAUAACAAUCCGACGGAUGAGAUUAAGAUAAGAAAAUUAAUCCAACAGAUGCAAAAAGUUGCAAUAUGGUUUAGGGUUGGUGGAGCUCCUUAAUGUGUUCUGAAGGUGGUGAUAUUGGAGAUGCUCUUAUGG